AGCAGCAGCCGCGGUAAUGCGUAGGUGGCAAGCGUUGUCCGGAAUUAUUGGGCGUAAAGCGCGCGCAGGCGGAUAGGUCAGUCUGUCUUAAAAGUUCGGGGCUUAACCCCGUGAUGGGAUGGAAACUGCCAAUCUAGAGUAUCGGAGAGGAAAGUGGAAUUCCUAGUGUAGCGGUGAAAUGCGUAGAUAUUAGGAAGAACACCAGUGGCGAAGGCGACUUUCUGGACGAAAACUGACGCUGAGGCGCGAAAGCCAGGGGAGCGAACGGGAUUAGAUACCCCAGUAGUCCCUGUCUCUUAUACC
This 303-nucleotide ribosomal RNA is filed under the name uncultured bacterium. Its description in RNAcentral is "partial 16S ribosomal RNA". It matches the Rfam family "Bacterial small subunit ribosomal RNA", at positions 507 to 808 of the family's 1533-position model. The record is from RNAcentral.